AUUGAACGCUGGCGGCAUGCCUUACACAUGCAAGUCGAACGGUAACAGGUCUUCGGAUGCUGACGAGUGGCGAACGGGUGAGUAAUACAUCGGAACGUGCCUAGUAGUGGGGGAUAACUACUCGAAAGAGUGGCUAAUACCACAUGAGAUCUACGGAUGAAAGCAGGGGAUCGCAAGACCUUGUGCUACUAGAGCGGCCGAUGGCAGAUUAGGUAGUUGGUGGGGUAAAGGCUCACCAAGCCGACGAUCUGUAGCUGGUCUGAGAGGACGACCAGCCACACUGGGACUGAGACACGGCCCAGACUCCUACGGGAGGCAGCAGUGGGGAAUUUUGGACAAUGGGCGCAAGCCUGAUCCAGCCAUUCCGCGUGCAGGAUGAAGGCCUUCGGGUUGUAAACUGCUUUUGUACGGAACGAAAAGGCUCUGGUUAAUACCCGGGGCUCAUGACGGUACCGUAAGAAUAAGCACCGGCUAACUACGUGCCAGCCGCCGCAGUAA
RNAcentral lists this ribosomal RNA (498 nucleotides) under uncultured bacterium. Its description in RNAcentral is "partial 16S ribosomal RNA". It matches the Rfam family "Bacterial small subunit ribosomal RNA", at positions 30 to 523 of the family's 1533-position model. The record is from RNAcentral.